UACGGGGGGGGCAAGCGUUGUUCGGAAUUACUGGGCGUAAAGGGCUCGUAGGCGGCCAACUAAGUCGGACGUGAAAUCCCUCGGCUUAACCGGGGAACUGCAUCCGAUACUGGCAGGCUUGAAUCCGGGAGAGGGAUGUGGAAUUCCAGGUGUAGCGGUGAAAUGCGUAGAUAUCUGGAGGAACACCGGUGGCGAAGGCGGCAUCCUGGACCGGUAUUGACGCUGAGGCGCGAAAGCCAGGGGAGCAAACAGG
This 253-nucleotide ribosomal RNA is filed under the name uncultured bacterium. RNAcentral's name for it is "partial 16S ribosomal RNA". It matches the Rfam family "Bacterial small subunit ribosomal RNA", at positions 524 to 776 of the family's 1533-position model. The record is from RNAcentral.